GUAGGGAAUCUUCCGCAAUGGACGAARKUCUGACGRAGCAACGCCGCGUGAGUGAAGAAGGUUUUCGGAUCGUAAAGCUCUGUUGUCAGGGAAGAACAAGUACCAAAGUAACUGUUGGUACCUUGACGGUACCUGACCAGAAAGCCACGGCUAACUACGUGCCAGCAGCCGCGGUAAUACGUAGGUGGCAAGCGUUGUCCGGAAUUAUUGGGCGUAAAGCGCGCGCAGGCGGCUUCUUAAGUCUGAUGUGAAAGCCCACGGCUCAACCGUGGAGGGUCAUUGGAAACUGGGAGGCUUGAGUGCAGAAGAGGAGAGCGGAAUUCCACGUGUAGCGGUGAAAUGCGUAGAGAUGUGGAGGAACACCAGUGGCGAAGGCGGCUCUCUGGUCUGUAACUGACGCUGAGGCGCGAAAGCGUGGGGAGCGAACAGGAUUAGAUACCCUGGUAGUCCACGCCGUAAACGAUGAGUGCUAAGUGUUGGAGGGUUUCCGCCCUUCAGUGCUGCAGCUAACGCAUUAAGCACUCCGCCUGGGGAGUACGGCCGCAAGGCUGAAACUCAAAGGAAUUGACGGGGGCCCGCACAAGCGGUGGAGCAUGUGGUUUAAUUCGAAGCAACGCGAAGAACCUUACCAGGUCUUGACAUCCCGCUGAYCGGUCUGGAGACAGAYCUUUCCCUUCGGGGACAGCGGUGACAGGUGGUGCAUGGUUGUCGUCAGCUCGUGUCGUGAGAUGUUGGGUUWAGUUCCCGCAACGAGCGCAACCMUUGAUCUUAGUUGCCAGCAUUUCAGUKGGKCACUCUAAGGUGAMCUGGCYGRUGACAAACCGGCAGGAAGG
RNAcentral lists this ribosomal RNA (833 nucleotides) under Pseudobacillus badius. Its description in RNAcentral is "bacterial SSU rRNA". It matches the Rfam family "Bacterial small subunit ribosomal RNA", at positions 354 to 1173 of the family's 1533-position model. Lineage: Bacteria; Bacillati; Bacillota; Bacilli; Caryophanales; Bacillaceae. The record is from RNAcentral.